UAAUACAGAGGUCCCGAGCGUUGUUCGGAUUCAUUGGGCGUAAAGGGUGUGUAGGAGGUCAGGUAAGUCGGGCGUGAAAUCCCACUGCUUAACAGUGGAACUGCGUUCGAUACUGCUUGGCUAGAGGAUUGGAGGGGGGAUCGGAAUUUAUGGUGUAGCAGUGAAAUGCGUAGAUAUCAUAAGGAACACCGGUGGCGAAGGCGGAUCCCUGGAAAAUUCCUGACUCUGAAACACGAAAGCUAGGGGAGCAAACGGGAUUAGAUACCCCGGUAGUCCUAGCCGUAAACGGUGUGCAUUGGGUGUGUGGGGAUUCGACCCCCUACGUGCCGAAGAUAACUCAUUAAAUGCACCGCCUGGGAAGUACGGUCGCAAGAUUA
Molecule: ribosomal RNA, 377 nt
Filed under: uncultured bacterium
Lineage: Bacteria
Description: bacterial SSU rRNA
Rfam family: Bacterial small subunit ribosomal RNA
Source: RNAcentral